AACGAACGCUGGCGGCAGGCUUAACACAUGCAAGUCGAACGCAUGCCUUCGGGCAUGAGUGGCAGACGGGUGAGUAACGCGUGGGAACCUACCCCUUGGUACGGGAUAGCUCCGGGAAACUGGAGAUAAUACCGUAUGUGUCCUGAGGGACAAAGAUUCAUCGCCAAGGGAUGGGCCCGCGUCGGAUUAGCUAGUUGGUGGGGUAACGGCCUACCAAGGCGACGAUCCGUAGCUGGUCUAAGAGGAUGAUCAGCCACAUUGGGACUGAGACACGGCCCAAACUCCUACGGGAGGCAGCAGUGGGGAAUAUUGGGCAAUGGGCGCAAGCCUGAUCCAGCCAUGCCGCGUGAGUGAUGAAGGCCCUAGGGUUGUAAAGCUCUUUCACCGGUGACGAUAAUGACGGUAACCGGAGAAGAAGCCCCGGCUAACUUCGUG
RNAcentral lists this ribosomal RNA (435 nucleotides) under uncultured bacterium. RNAcentral's name for it is "partial 16S ribosomal RNA". It matches the Rfam family "Bacterial small subunit ribosomal RNA", at positions 29 to 507 of the family's 1533-position model. The record is from RNAcentral.